Molecule: ribosomal RNA, 349 nt
Filed under: uncultured bacterium
Lineage: Bacteria
Description: bacterial SSU rRNA
Rfam family: Bacterial small subunit ribosomal RNA
Source: RNAcentral
AGAGUUUGAUCCUGGCUCAGGAUGAACGCUAGCUACAGGCUUAACACAUGCAAGUCGAGGGGAAACGACAUCGAAAGCUUGCUUUUGAUGGGCGUCGACCGGCGCACGGGUGAGUAACGCGUAUCCAACCUGCCCACCACUUGGGGAUAACCUUGCGAAAGUAAGACUAAUACCCAAUGACGUCUCUAGAAGACAUCUGAAAGAGAUUAAAGAUUUAUCGGUGAUGGAUGGGGAUGCGUCUGAUUAGCUUGUUGGCGGGUAACGGCCACCAAGGCUACGAUCAGUAGGGGUUCUGAGAGGAAGGUCCCCACAUUGGAACUGAGACACGGUCCAAACUCCGUACGGGGCA